This 775-nucleotide ribosomal RNA is filed under the name uncultured Neocallimastigales. Its description in RNAcentral is "partial large subunit ribosomal RNA". It matches the Rfam family "Eukaryotic large subunit ribosomal RNA", at positions 24 to 649 of the family's 3401-position model. The record is from RNAcentral. Lineage: Eukaryota; Fungi; Neocallimastigomycota; Neocallimastigomycetes; Neocallimastigales.
UAUGUGAUCGUCUCUCGCAUAUCAAUAAGCGGAGGAAAAGAAACUAACAAGGAUUCCCCUAGUAACGGCGAGUGAAGCGGGAAGAGCUCAAAUUUGAAAUCUUAAAGGGUUUCCCUUUACGAAUUGUAGUUUAAAGAAGUGUUUUCUGUUGAGGUUUUGGUAAAAGUUCUUUGGAAUAGGACAUCAUAGAGGGUGAGAAUCCCGUAUUUGACCUUUACUUUCAACUUUGUGAUACACUUUCAAAGAGUCGGAUUGUUUGGGAAUGCAGUCCAAAAUGGGUGGUAAAUUUCAUCUAAAGCUAAAUAUUGGCGAGAGACCGAUAGCGAACAAGUACCGUGAGGGAAAGAUGAAAAGAACUUUGAAAAGAGAGUUAAACAGUACGUGAAACUUGUCAAAAGGGAAGCGUUUGACACCAGUGUUGUUUCUCUGAAAGUCAAUUAAAGAACUGUUUAUGCUAAGUUGUUUAGACUUUAUCAGCUAACUGUUUAGUUUUGAGCUUUUCUUUAAUGCACUUUUCAGUUAACAAGUCAACAUCAAUUUCUUUUGCUGUAAAAAAGCUUGAGGAAGGUGGCUUGAGAUUCGUCUUAAGUGUUUAUAGCCUCUUGCCUAUGCAGUCGGAGAGAUUGAGGUCUGCAGCGUAGAUCCUUCGGGGCUAAAUGCAUUUGUGCUAAGUUAUAGCAUUUUAUAGACAACUUGUUGACUAUGAUUUGUCUUGUAGCUUACUCGCUUAUGUUAUUUUACCUACGCUUAGGAUGUUGAGUAGCGACAUACGCAC